Molecule: ribosomal RNA, 781 nt
Filed under: uncultured Gammaproteobacteria bacterium
Lineage: Bacteria; Pseudomonadati; Pseudomonadota; Gammaproteobacteria
Description: SSU rRNA
Rfam family: Bacterial small subunit ribosomal RNA
Source: RNAcentral
AGAGUUUGAUCCUGGCUCAGAUUGAACGCUGGCGGCAGGCUUAACACAUGCAAGUCGAACGGUAGCACAGAGAGCUUGCUCUCGGGUGACGAGUGGCGGACGGGUGAGUAAUGUCUGGGAAACUGCCUGAUGGAGGGGGAUAACUACUGGAAACGGUAGCUAAUACCGCAUAACGUCGCAAGACCAAAGAGGGGGACCUUCGGGCCUCUUGCCAUCAGAUGUGCCCAGAUGGGAUUAGCUAGUAGGUGGGGUAACGGCUCACCUAGGCGACGAUCCCUAGCUGGUCUGAGAGGAUGACCAGCCACACUGGAACUGAGACACGGUCCAGACUCCUACGGGAGGCAGCAGUGGGGAAUAUUGCACAAUGGGCGCAAGCCUGAUGCAGCCAUGCCGCGUGUAUGAAGAAGGCCUUCGGGUUGUAAAGUACUUUCAGCGGGGAGGAAGGCGGUGAGGUUAAUAACCUCAUCGAUUGACGUUACCCGCAGAAGAAGCACCGGCUAACUCCGUGCCAGCAGCCGCGGUAAUACGGAGGGUGCAAGCGUUAAUCGGAAUUACUGGGCGUAAAGCGUGCGCAGGCGGUUUUGUAAGACAGAGGUGAAAUCCCCGGGCUCAACCUGGGAACUGCCUUUGUGACUGCAAGGCUGGAGUGCGGCAGAGGGGGAUGGAAUUCCGCGUGUAGCAGUGAAAUGCGUAGAUAUGCGGAGGAACACCGAUGGCGAAGGCAAUCCCCUGGGCCUGCACUGACGCUCAUGCACGAAAGCGUGGGGAGCAAACAGGAUUA